UACGUAGGGGGCGAGCGUUGUCCGGAAUUACUGGGCGUAAAGGGUACGUAGGCGGCUAUAUAAGUCAGGUGUGAAAUACCAGUGCUUAACACUGGAAUUGCAUUUGAAACUGUGUAGCUUGAGUGCAGGAGAGGAAAGUGGAAUUCCUAGUGUAGCGGUGAAAUGCGUAGAGAUUAGGAGGAACACCAGUGGCGAAGGCGACUUUCUGGACUGUAACUGACGCUGAGGUACGAAAGCGUGGGUAGCGAACAGGAUUAGAUACC
RNAcentral lists this ribosomal RNA (263 nucleotides) under uncultured bacterium. RNAcentral describes it as "partial 16S ribosomal RNA". It matches the Rfam family "Bacterial small subunit ribosomal RNA", at positions 524 to 786 of the family's 1533-position model. The record is from RNAcentral.